RNAcentral lists this ribosomal RNA (241 nucleotides) under uncultured Actinomycetales bacterium. Its description in RNAcentral is "partial 16S ribosomal RNA". It matches the Rfam family "Bacterial small subunit ribosomal RNA", at positions 89 to 334 of the family's 1533-position model. Lineage: Bacteria; Bacillati; Actinomycetota; Actinomycetes; Actinomycetales. The record is from RNAcentral.
ACUCGAGUGGCGAACGGGUGAGUAACACGUGGGUGAUCUGCCCUGCACUUCGGGAUAAGCUUGGGAAACUGGGUCUAAUACCGGAUAGGAGCCAUCUUUAGUGUGGUGGUUGGAAAGUUUUUCGGUGUAGGAUGAGCUCGCGGCCUAUCAGCUUGUUGGUGGGGUAAUGGCCUACCAAGGCGGCGACGGGUAGCCGGCCUGAGAGGGUGUACGGCCACAUUGGGACUGAGAUACGGCCCAG